RNAcentral lists this ribosomal RNA (504 nucleotides) under uncultured bacterium. Its description in RNAcentral is "bacterial SSU rRNA". It matches the Rfam family "Bacterial small subunit ribosomal RNA", at positions 8 to 507 of the family's 1533-position model. The record is from RNAcentral.
AGAGUUUGAUCAGUGGCUCAGAAUGAACGCGUGGCGGCGUGCCUAACACAUGCAAGUCGAGCGAGAAAGUCUCUUCGGAGAUAAGUACAGCGGCGGACGGGUGAGUAACGCGUGAGAAUUUACCCUUUAGUGAAGAAUACCUCUGAGAAAUCAGGGUUAAUACUGCAUACGUCCCUACGGGGGAGAAAGGUGGCCUCUUUGCUGCCGCUAAAGGAUAAGCUUGCGUACUAUUAGCUAGUUGGUGAGGUAAAGGCUCACCAAGGCGAUGAUGGUUAGCCGGCCUGAGAGGGUGUACGGCCACACUGGAACUUAGACACGGUCCAGACUCCUACGGGAGGCAGCAGUGAGGAAUAUUGCGCAAUGGGCGAAAGCCUGACGCAGCGACGCCGCGUGGAGGAUGAAGGUCUUCGGAUUGUAAACUCCUGUUAAGUGGGAAGAAAGACCUAUUUCUAAUACAGAUAGGGGAUGACGGUACCAUUAGAGAAAGCACCGGCUAACUUCGUG